GACGAAGGGGGCUAGCGUUGUUCGGAAUUACUGGGCGUAAAGCGCGUGUAGGCGGUUGCCCAAGUCGGGUGUGAAAGCCUUGAGCUCAACUCAAGAAAUGCACUCGGUACUGGGUGACUAGAGGACCGGAGAGGAUAGUGGAAUUCCCAGUGUAGUGGUGAAAUACGUAGAGGUUGGGAAGAACACCAGUGGCGAAGGCGGCUAUCUGGACGGUUUCUGACGCUAAGACGCGAAAGCGUGGGGAGCAAACAGG
This 253-nucleotide ribosomal RNA is filed under the name uncultured bacterium. RNAcentral describes it as "partial 16S ribosomal RNA". It matches the Rfam family "Bacterial small subunit ribosomal RNA", at positions 524 to 776 of the family's 1533-position model. The record is from RNAcentral.